This 253-nucleotide ribosomal RNA is filed under the name uncultured bacterium. RNAcentral describes it as "partial 16S ribosomal RNA". It matches the Rfam family "Bacterial small subunit ribosomal RNA", at positions 524 to 776 of the family's 1533-position model. The record is from RNAcentral.
UACGUAGGGCGCAAGCGUUGUCCGGAAUUAUUGGGCGUAAAGAGCUCGUAGGCGGCUUGUCACGUCGGUUGUGAAAGCCCGGGGCUUAACCCCGGGUCUGCAGUCGAUACGGGCUAGCUAGAGUUCGGUAGGGGAGAUCGGAAUUCCUGGUGUAGCGGUGAAAUGCGCAGAUAUCAGGAGGAACACCGGUGGCGAAGGCGGAUCUCUGGGCCGAUACUGACGCUGAGGAGCGAAAGCGUGGGGAGCGAACAGG